UGCCCCAAAACAAACCUCUGUGUCUAAACCUGGUCCAGUCUGGUCCCUGAAGCUCAGCAGGGCUGGGCCUGAUUAAUACUUGGAUGGGAGACCACUGGAAAUACUAGGUGCCACAGUGGGGCGC
RNAcentral lists this ribosomal RNA (124 nucleotides) under Periophthalmus magnuspinnatus. Lineage: Eukaryota; Metazoa; Chordata; Actinopteri; Gobiiformes; Gobiidae. The record is from RNAcentral.